This 439-nucleotide ribosomal RNA is filed under the name uncultured bacterium. RNAcentral's name for it is "partial 16S ribosomal RNA". It matches the Rfam family "Bacterial small subunit ribosomal RNA", at positions 339 to 795 of the family's 1533-position model. The record is from RNAcentral.
CUACGGGACGCUGCAGUGAGGAAUAUUGCACAAUGGGGGGAACCCUGAUGCAGCAACGCCGCGUGGAGGAUGACGCAUUUCGGUGUGUAAACUCCUUUUAUAUGUCAAGAAAAUGACGGUAGCAUAUGAAUAAGCACUGGCUAACUCCGUGCCAGCAGCCGCGGUAAUACGGAGGGUGCAAGCGUUACUCGGAAUCACUGGGCGUAAAGGACGCGUAGGCGGGUUGGAAAGUCAGGUGUGAAAUCCUACAGCUUAACUGUAGAACUGCACUUGAAACUUCUAAUCUAGAGUAUGGGAGGGGGAGAUGGAAUUAGUGGUGUAGGGGUAAAAUCCGUAGAUAUCACUAGGAAUACCUAAAGCGAAGGCGAUCUCCUGGAACGUUACUGACGCUAAGGCGUGAAAGCGUGGGGAGCAAACAGGAUUAGAUACCCCGGUAGUC